UACGUAGGGGGCGAGCGUUGUCCGGAUUUAUUGGGCGUAAAGAGCUCGUAGGCGGCUCGGUAAGUCGGGUGUGAAAACUCGGGGCUCAACCCCGAGACGCCACUCGAUACUGCCAUGGCUAGAGUCCGGUAGGGGAGCGUGGAAUUCCUGGUGUAGCGGUGAAAUGCGCAGAUAUCAGGAGGAACACCGGUGGCGAAGGCGGCGCUCUGGGCCGGAACUGACGCUGAGGAGCGAAAGCGUGGGGAGCAAACAGG
This 254-nucleotide ribosomal RNA is filed under the name uncultured bacterium. RNAcentral describes it as "partial 16S ribosomal RNA". It matches the Rfam family "Bacterial small subunit ribosomal RNA", at positions 524 to 776 of the family's 1533-position model. The record is from RNAcentral.